Molecule: small nuclear RNA, 163 nt
Filed under: Salvator merianae (Argentine black and white tegu)
Lineage: Eukaryota; Metazoa; Chordata; Lepidosauria; Squamata; Teiidae
Description: U1 spliceosomal RNA (ENSSMRG00000015139.1)
Rfam family: U1 spliceosomal RNA
About the family: U1 is a small nuclear RNA (snRNA) component of the spliceosome (involved in pre-mRNA splicing). Its 5' end forms complementary base pairs with the 5' splice junction, thus defining the 5' donor site of an intron.
Source: RNAcentral
AUACUUACCUGGCAGGCGAGGCACCAUGAUCAUGAAAGUGGUUUUCCANGGAUGAAGCUCAUCCAUUGCACUCCGGGUGUGCUGACCACUGUGAUUUUCCUUAAUGUGGGAAAUUGACUGCAUAAUUUGUGAUAGCGGGGGACUGUGUUCACGCUUUCCCCUG